This 596-nucleotide ribosomal RNA is filed under the name uncultured fungus. Its description in RNAcentral is "eukaryotic LSU rRNA". The stretch from base 201 to 352 matches the Rfam family "5.8S ribosomal RNA". The record is from RNAcentral. Lineage: Eukaryota; Fungi.
CUUGGUCAUUUAGAGGAAGUAAAAGUUGUAACAAGGUUUCCGUAGGUGAACCUGCGGAAGGAUCAUUAACAAAUCCUGCUGCAGUGCCGCAAGGUGCUGUAGUAAAUUAACUCGGCCUGUGUCGCAAGAUGCAGGCUGAUUAUAUAUAUCUAUAUAUAUGUGUGUAAUGUUGACAAUGUGUGUGUGAAUAAUUAGUAGACAACUUUUAACAAUGGAUCUCUAGGCUCUUGCAGCGAUGAAGAACACAGCAAAGUGUGAAAAGUGAUGCGAUUUGCACGAAUCUGUGAGUCAUCUAGUUUUUGAACGCAAUUGGCACUCUUGUGUAAGCAAGAGUAUGUCUGUUUGAGAAUCCCAAAACCGAUCAACACCUGUGGGGGUUGGCAUUGGCGGUCCGUGCAGUACUGUGCGGUUUGCUUAAAGAUAUUCAGGUUGAUGGGCUCCCAGCUGAGCUCCAAAUGUGCUAAAAGACUGUGGUCUUUCGUCAUUUGGGUGCGCAGUUGCACGGCUCUAGUAAACAACCUAUAAUCAUUUAUCAAUUAGGAUCUCAAAUCAGGCAAGAUUACCCGCUGAACUUAAGCAUAUCAAUAAGCGGAGGA